CCUACGGGUGGCUGCAGUGGGGAAUAUUGCGCAAUGGGCGAAAGCCUGACGCAGCGACGCCGCGUGAGGGAUGAAGGUCUUCGGAUCGUAAACCUCUGUCAGCAGGGAAGAACGGUCACUGUGCUAAUCAGCAGUGAAUUGACGGUACCUGCAAAGGAAGCACCGGCUAACUCCGUGCCAGCAGCCGCGGUAAUACGGAGGGUGCGAGCGUUAAUCGGAAUUACUGGGCGUAAAGCGCUCGUAGGCGGUAUGUCAAGUCAAGUGUGAAAUCCCCGCGCUCAACGUGGGAACUGCCUUUGAAACUGGCAAACUAGAGUGUGUGAGAGGAUAGUGGAAUUCCAGGUGUAGGAGUGAAAUGCGUAGAGAUGUGGAGGAACAUCAGUGGCGAAGGCGACUAUCUGGCAAAUAACUGACGCUGAGGAGCGAAAGCGUGGGUAGCAAACAGGAUUAGAUACCCGUGUAGUC
Molecule: ribosomal RNA, 465 nt
Filed under: uncultured bacterium
Lineage: Bacteria
Description: partial 16S ribosomal RNA
Rfam family: Bacterial small subunit ribosomal RNA
Source: RNAcentral